CUGGGACCCCCAUGAUUUUGGGGUAGCCCCCCAGGACUACCGUGACUUUGGGGUGCCACCUGAGACCACUGUGACUUUGGGGUAGCCCCCAAGGACCCCCAUGACUUUGGGGUAGCCCCCCAAAGACCAGCUUGACUUUAGGAUGCCCCCCAGGACCACCAUGGCUCCAGGGUUGUCCCCCAGGACCCCCAUGGCUCUGGGGUCCCCCCAGGCCCACCAUGACUUUGGGGUGCCCCCUGGUUCCACCAUGACUUUGCAGUGCCCCCAAGACCACCAUGGCUCCGGGGUAGCCCCCCAAAGACCCCUAUGACUUUGGGGUGACCCCCGGGACCACCAUGGGUCAGGGGUAGCCCUGAGGACCCCCAUGACUUUGGGGUGCCCCCCAGGACCCCCAUGGCUUCAGGGUUGCCCUGAGGACCACGGUGACUUUGGUAUGCCCCCCAGGACCACCUUGACUCUGGGGUAGCCCCCUGGGACCACUGUGACUUUGGGGUGACCCUGAGGACCCCCAUGACUCCACAGUGCCCCCCGAGGACCCUGAUGACUUUGGGGUAGCCCUUGGGACCACCAAUGGCUUUGGGAUGCCCCCCAGGACCACCAUGACUUCGGGGUGCCCCCGAUGACCCCCAAAUCUCCGGGGUGACCCCAUCACGGCCUUCCAGUACCACCACUAACCCCCCUCUCCCCCCCUGGCCCCCCCCCCCCCCCCCCCCCAGAGGUGCAGUUCCGCCCGUACCGCACGGACGACUUCAUCACGCGGCUGUACUACGAGACGCCGCGCCUGACGGUCCUCAACCAAACCUGGGUGCUGAAGGCGCGCGUCAACGACUCGGAGCGCAACCCCAACCUCUCCUGCAAGCGCACCCUGUCCUUCCAGCUCAUCCUCAAGAGCAAGGUCAACUCGCCGCUCGAGUGCUCCUUCCUCCUCCUCGAGGGGCCCUACGACGACGUCAAGAUCAAGCCGAUCCAGAAGUAGGCG
This 979-nucleotide long non-coding RNA is filed under the name Anas platyrhynchos platyrhynchos (common mallard). RNAcentral describes it as "lncRNA (ENSAPLG00000017074.1)". Lineage: Eukaryota; Metazoa; Chordata; Aves; Anseriformes; Anatidae. The record is from RNAcentral.